RNAcentral lists this ribosomal RNA (497 nucleotides) under uncultured bacterium. RNAcentral describes it as "partial 16S ribosomal RNA". It matches the Rfam family "Bacterial small subunit ribosomal RNA", at positions 28 to 507 of the family's 1533-position model. The record is from RNAcentral.
GAUGAACGCUGGCGGCGUACCUAAUACAUGCAAGUCGAGCGAACAGACGAGGAGCUUGCUCCUCUGACGUUAGCGGCGGACGGGUGAGUAACACGUGGAUAACCUACCUAUAAGACUGGGAUAACUUCGGGAAACCGGAGCUAAUACCGGAUAAUAUAUUGAACCGCAUGGUUCAAUAGUGAAAGACGGUUUUGCUGUCACUUAUAGAUGGAUCCGCGCCGCAUUAGCUAGUUGGUAAGGUAACGGCUUACCAAGGCGACGAUGCGUAGCCGACCUGAGAGGGUGAUCGGCCACACUGGAACUGAGACACGGUCCAGACUCCUACGGGAGGCAGCAGUAGGGAAUCUUCCGCAAUGGUCGAAAGCCUGACGGAGCAACGCCGCGUGAGUGAUGAAGGUCUUCGGAUCGUAAAACUCUGUUAUUAGGGAAGAACAAAUGUGUAAGUAACUAUGCACGUCUUGACGGUACCUAAUCAGAAAGCCACGGCUAACUACGUG